AUUGAACGCUGGCGGCAUGCUUUACACAUGCAAGUCGAACGGCAGCGCGGGCUUCGGCCUGGCGGCGAGUGGCGAACGGGUGAGUAAUGCAUCGGAACGUGCCCAGUAGUGGGGGAUAGCCCGGCGAAAGCCGGAUUAAUACCGCAUACGACCUGAGGGUGAAAGCGGGGGACCGAAAGGCCUCGCGCUAUUGGAGCGACCGAUGUCGGAUUAGCUAGUUGGUUGGGUAAAGGCUUACCAAGGCGACGAUCCGUAGCUGGUCUGAGAGGACGACCAGCCACACUGGGACUGAGACACGGCCCAGACUCCUACGGGAGGCAGCAGUGGGGAAUGUUGGACAAUGGGGGCAACCCUGAUCCAGCCAUGCCGCGUGCGGGAAGAAGGCCUUCGGGUUGUAAACCGCUUUUGUUCGGGAAGAAAUCCUCUGGGCUAAUACCCCGGGGGGAUGACGGUACCGGAAGAAUAAGCACAGGCUAACUACGUG
Molecule: ribosomal RNA, 484 nt
Filed under: uncultured bacterium
Lineage: Bacteria
Description: partial 16S ribosomal RNA
Rfam family: Bacterial small subunit ribosomal RNA
Source: RNAcentral